CCCUGUCCAUGCUAGUUCUUGGCAUCUCUCUUACUUGUCUUUCCUCCGUCUUAAUCCAUACAGGGAGUUUUUGCAAAGGACUUGGGAGAAAAGUGCCUGGAAAACAUCAGCAUCUGGACAAAGAACAGUCAGCCAGAGCCUGUCAGGACAAAGGAAAUCUGUGGAGGAAUUUCUGCCUUAGAAAGCUUAUCUUCUCCAGAACAGCAUCUGACUUCAAAUUAUCAUGGCUUGUACAGCACCGAGGCCCCUUCUGCUUUCUGUACUGCCACGCUGGCAAGGAAGUUGGGGGUGCAUGGCAAAUUGUGAGGAAACACAGCCAGGACAGGUGACCCAAACUGACCAAAGGGAUAUUCCAGACCAUACGACAUCAUGAUCGGUAGGGACUUCACAUGUGUGGAAACAGCAUGCAGUCUUAGAAAAUUGUCAGACUUGAAAGCAAUGGCCUGAGAGCAGAAGAGGAAAUUUCUCAGUGACCUACUUGCUUUCCAGUGAAGAUGAGACUUUGGCAUUCUGUAAAUAAAAUGUAUAAACUCCUGUGUUCGGUGAAAUUUACACCACCACCACCACC
Ficedula albicollis (Collared flycatcher) is the source of this 568-nucleotide long non-coding RNA. RefSeq lists it as uncharacterized. The transcript is spliced from 5 exons. Lineage: Eukaryota; Metazoa; Chordata; Aves; Passeriformes; Muscicapidae. The record is from RefSeq and is a predicted model, not a curated record.